RNAcentral lists this transfer RNA (70 nucleotides) under Dipodomys ordii (Ord's kangaroo rat). It matches the Rfam family "tRNA". From Rfam's summary of the family: Transfer RNA (tRNA) molecules are approximately 80 nucleotides in length. Their secondary structure includes four short double-helical elements and three loops (D, anti-codon, and T loops). The record is from Rfam by way of RNAcentral. Lineage: Eukaryota; Metazoa; Chordata; Mammalia; Rodentia; Heteromyidae.
GGGAAUGUAGCUUAGUGGUAGAGAGUUUACCUAGCAUGCAUGAAGCCCUAGGUUCAAUUCCUCAUUGCCA